This 433-nucleotide ribosomal RNA is filed under the name uncultured bacterium. Its description in RNAcentral is "bacterial SSU rRNA". It matches the Rfam family "Bacterial small subunit ribosomal RNA", at positions 62 to 543 of the family's 1533-position model. The record is from RNAcentral.
UCGAGCGCCCCGCAAGGGGAGCGGCAGACGGGUGAGUAACGCGUGGGAAUCUACCCACCACUACGGAACAACUCCGGGAAACUGGAGCUAAUACCGUAUACGUCCUUCGGGAGAAAGAUUUAUCGGUGAUGGAUGAGCCCGCGUUGGAUUAGCUAGUUGGUGGGGUAAUGGCCUACCAAGGCGACGAUCCAUAGCUGGUCUGAGAGGAUGAUCAGCCACACUGGGACUGAGACACGGCCCAGACUCCUACGGGAGGCAGCAGUGGGGAAUAUUGGACAAUGGGCGAAAGCCUGAUCCAGCCAUGCCGCGUGAGUGAUGAAGGCCCUAGGGUUGUAAAGCUCUUUCACCGGUGAAGAUAAUGACGGUAACCGGAGAAGAAGCCCCGGCUAACUUCGUGCCAGCAGCCGCGGUAAUACGAAGGGGGCUAGCGUUG